GACCUGAUGGUGCAGCGGUUAGCACAUCUACUAAAAAUUAUGUUUGGACUUCUAUCAUUAAAAGUAGGAGAUCCCUGUUCGAUUCAGGGUCGGGUCA
Non-coding RNA from Mycena crocata, 97 nucleotides. The record is from the annotation of a GenBank genome assembly. NCBI's taxonomy places the organism in Eukaryota, Fungi, Basidiomycota, Agaricomycetes, Agaricales, Mycenaceae.